AUUGAACGCUGGCGGCAGGCCUAACACAUGCAAGUCGAGCGGAUGAAGGGAGCUUGCUCCUGGAUUCAGCGGCGGACGGGUGAGUAAUGCCUAGGAAUCUGCCUGUUAGUGGUGGAUAACGUCCGAACACGGGCGCUAAUACCGCAUACGUCCUGACGGCGUACGUGGGAGAUCUUCGGACCUCACGCUAUCACAUGAGCCGAGGUCGGAUUAGCUAGUUGGUGGGGUAAAGGCCUACCAAGGCGACGAUCCGUAACUGGUCUGAGAGGAUGAUCAGUCACACUGGAACUGAGACACGGUCCAGACUCCUACGGGAGGCAGCAGUGGGGAAUAUUGGACAAUGGGCGAAAGCCUGAUCCAGCCAUGCCGCGUGGGUGAAGAAGGUCUUCGGAUUGUAAAGCACUUUAGUUGGGGAAGAAGGGCAGUAAGUUAAUACCUCGCUGUUUUGACGGUACCAAAAGAAUAAGCACCGGCUAACUUCGUG
RNAcentral lists this ribosomal RNA (484 nucleotides) under uncultured bacterium. RNAcentral describes it as "partial 16S ribosomal RNA". It matches the Rfam family "Bacterial small subunit ribosomal RNA", at positions 30 to 507 of the family's 1533-position model. The record is from RNAcentral.